GAUGAACGCUGGCGGCGUGCCUAAUACAUGCAAGUCGAGCGAACAGACGAGGAGCUUGCUCCUCUGACGUUAGCGGCGGACGGGUGAGUAACACGUGGAUAACCUACCUAUAAGACUGGGAUAACUUCGGGAAACCGGAGCUAAUACCGGAUAAUAUAUUGAACCGCAGGGUUCAAUAGUGAAAGACGGUUUUGCUGUCAGGUAUAGAUGGAUCCGCGCUGCAUUAGCUAGUUGGUAAGGUAACGGCUUACCAAGGGAACGAUGCGUAGCCGACCUGAGAGGGUGAUCGGCCACACUGGAACUGAGACACGGUCCAGACUCCUACGGGAGGCAGCAGUAGGGAAUCUUCCGCAAUGGGCGAAAGCCUGACGGAGCAACGCCGCGUGAGUGAUGAAGGUCUUCGGAUCGUAAAACUCUGUUAUUAGGGAAGAACAAAUGUGUAAGUAACUAUGCACGUCUUGACGGUACCUAAUCAGAAAGCCACGGCUAACUACGUG
This 497-nucleotide ribosomal RNA is filed under the name uncultured bacterium. RNAcentral describes it as "partial 16S ribosomal RNA". It matches the Rfam family "Bacterial small subunit ribosomal RNA", at positions 28 to 507 of the family's 1533-position model. The record is from RNAcentral.